AGGUCCAGCCUGCCCAGUGACAAAUUCAACGGCCGCGGUAUCCUAACCGUGCGAAGGUAGCAUAAUCACUUGUUCUUUAAAUGGGGACUAGUAUCAACGGCAUCACGAGGGUUGCACUGUCUCCUUUUUCUAAUCAGUGAAACUGAUCUCCCCGUGAAGAAGCGGAGAUACAACAAUAAGACGAGAAGACCCCAUGGAGCUUUAAAUUUUACAGCAACUCUACCACACAUUUCCCCACAAUCACAGAAAUAUGCAUGUAGAUUUUAGGUUGGGGCGACCGCGGAGUAAAAAUUAUCCUCCACGACGAAAAGAGCUAAACCCUUAUCCUAGAGACACCCCUCCAAGAAUUAGUACACUAACGAACUAUGACCCGAUAAUCGAUUAACGGACCAAGUUACCCUGGGGAUAACAGCGCAAUCUGCUUCGAGAGCCCAUAUCGACAAGUAGGCUUACGACCUCGAUGUUGGAUCAGGGUACCCAAGUGGUGCAGCCGCUACUAAUGGUUCGUUUGUUCAACGAU
RNAcentral lists this ribosomal RNA (520 nucleotides) under Rhacophorus sp. FMNH255280. RNAcentral's name for it is "partial 16S ribosomal RNA". It matches the Rfam family "Bacterial large subunit ribosomal RNA", at positions 1850 to 2588 of the family's 2925-position model. Lineage: Eukaryota; Metazoa; Chordata; Amphibia; Anura; Rhacophoridae. The record is from RNAcentral.